CACAAAAUGUCCAGUAAAGCAUUUCUCCCCGCAAACACAAGCUGAAACAGAAUAACAGAAAAAAACAGAAUGCAGGCUCAGUAAAAGCAUUUACAGGGCAGUGUAUAGGGUAAUUACCAUACAGUUACAUAAGUGUUUUGAUUUGGCUUCACAGAUAUUUGUAUGAGCCUGGCGUACUAACAGUAAUAUCUCCCAUAAAUCUGCUUUGGUAAGAAGUUGACGACACAUCAGCCAGUCAGGCGAGUAGCUUAAAUAUGGAGUUCCAAAGCCACAAAGAUGUGCAAUGGUUAUUAUGUCUCUCAAUCAAGGAAGAGCAACUGACCUUAUCAUAUAAAAUGCAGUGGUGAGCAUUGUUAUUAUCUGCAGUAAUGAAUCUGAGAGCUCAAUGGUAAACACAAUCUAAGGCCCUAACAAGCAGCAGCUCGGAUCGCAGACCAG
This is a long non-coding RNA of Sebastes umbrosus (honeycomb rockfish), 438 nucleotides long. RefSeq lists it as uncharacterized. The transcript is spliced from 3 exons. The record is from RefSeq and is a predicted model, not a curated record. Lineage: Eukaryota; Metazoa; Chordata; Actinopteri; Perciformes; Sebastidae.